UACGUAGGGUGCGAGCGUUAAUCGGAAUUACUGGGCGUAAAGCGUGCGCAGGCGGCUUUGCAAGACAGAUGUGAAAUCCCCGGGCUCAACCUGGGAACUGCAUUUGUGACUGCAAGGCUAGAGUACGGCAGAGGGGGAUGGAAUUCCGCGUGUAGCAGUGAAAUGCGUAGAUAUGCGGAGGAACACCAAUGGCGAAGGCAAUCCCCUGGGCCUGUACUGACGCUCAUGCACGAAAACGUGGGGAGCAAACAGG
RNAcentral lists this ribosomal RNA (253 nucleotides) under uncultured bacterium. RNAcentral describes it as "partial 16S ribosomal RNA". It matches the Rfam family "Bacterial small subunit ribosomal RNA", at positions 524 to 776 of the family's 1533-position model. The record is from RNAcentral.